CAAUAGUGUAUAUUUAAGUUGCUGCAGUUAAAAAGCUCGUAGUUGGAUUUCGGGUGGGAAUGGCCGGUCCGCCGUUUCGGUGUGCACUUGCUACGCCCACCUUGCUGCCGGGGACGUGCUCUUGAGUUCACGCUCGGGACACGGAGUCGGCGAGGUUACUUUGAGUAAAUUAGAGUGUUCAAAGCAGGCCUACGCUCUGAAUACAUUAGCAUGGAAUAACACGAUAGGACUCUGGCCUAUCUUGUUGGUCUGUAGGACCGGAGUAAUGAUUAAGAGGGACAGUCGGGGGCAUUCGUAUUUCAUUGUCAGAGGUGAAAUUCUUGGAUUUAUUAAAGACGGACUACUGCGAAAGCAUUUGCCAAGGAUGUUUUCAUUGA
This 377-nucleotide ribosomal RNA is filed under the name uncultured eukaryote. Its description in RNAcentral is "partial 18S ribosomal RNA". It matches the Rfam family "Eukaryotic small subunit ribosomal RNA", at positions 592 to 976 of the family's 1831-position model. The record is from RNAcentral.